This 490-nucleotide ribosomal RNA is filed under the name uncultured bacterium. RNAcentral describes it as "bacterial SSU rRNA". It matches the Rfam family "Bacterial small subunit ribosomal RNA", at positions 1 to 507 of the family's 1533-position model. The record is from RNAcentral.
ACGAGUUUGAUCAUGGCUCAGGAUGAACGCUAGCGGCAGGCCUAAUACAUGCAAGUCGAAGGGGUAGCAAUACACCGGCGGACGGGUGCGUAACGCGUACACAACAUACCUUUAAGGCGGGGGAUAGCAUUGGGAAACUGGUGGUAAUACCCCAUAACAUUGCGUUUCGGCAUUGAGAUGCAAAUUAAAGUUACGGCGCUUAGAGAUUGGUGUGCGUCUGAUUAGCUAGUUGGCGGGGUAACGGCCCACCAAGGCGACGAUCAGUAGGGGGUGUGAGAGCAUGACCCCCCACAUGGGUACUGAGACACGGACCCAACUCCUACGGGAGGCAGCAGUAAGGAAUAUUGGACAAUGGGCGGAAGCCUGAUCCAGCCAUGCCGCGUGAAGGAUGAAGGCGCUCAGCGUUGUAAACUUCUUUUGGAUGGGGACAAUAACUUCCAUUUAUGGGAGCUUGAGGGUACCAUCAGAAUAAGCACCGGCUAACUCCGUG